GUGUUCACGUUAAUCCAGCUCCUCUGGCAAAGGAAAUCCUUAUAAAGGAUAAUGCUAGUAUAACAUUUCUAGUUAAUAUGCAAUCUAAAUUUCUUUUAUUGAGUGGCUCAGAAGUGAUUAUCCUCUCUCUUAACCGAGUGGCUGAGAAGUGUAGAGAGCGCUGCGGUAGUGACCUUGAGCUUCCUUGAGGUCAAGAGGCUUCCCAGUGGCCACACCUGUCUGUGGCCACUUUGGGGGUUAUUUGACACAGCCCCUCGGUAAUGAGGGAAGAGGACACGAAUCAGGGGAGAGGGACACUUGGCCUGGAACCCAGCGCUUUUGCUUAAUGAAAAUUACUGCUUUCUUACUUCUCUGAGAGUUCAGAGACCUAGGGUGAUUUCUGUAAAUGGGUUCAGCUGACCUGCAGCAGAAGUGAAGAUGAGAAUUAAUGGCACCCUCACUGGAAAGUUUAAAGUCUAAUUAGCUCUCGGGCUGGCUGAGUUUUGUUAAUUCAUCGAUGGGACUCUGGGAAGGCAGGCGGGCCGGCAGCCAGUGAGAGGUAAGUUAGGAGGCAGAGCACAGGGAAAAGCAACCGACCUAGGUGAUUUGUUCCACAUUUUGACCCACCUGGCACAUAAGCCAUUGCCGAUUUGUUACCUUGUUAACAGGCUCGGGGAGAAACUUGGAAUAGUGGCCCACUUAUAUUUCUGAUUAAUUUUCUAUAACUCAGGAUGCUCUAAGUAAAUGGAUUAAAGAACCAUUUGAUCUUCAAAAAGAGGUUUAUGGUGGCUUUGAUGAUUAAGUACCCAGGGGACACAAUGGAUUAUCAUGGAUAAUGGAUUAGGAGAAGUGGGAUAUUAAAAAUGAACUCUCCUCCCUGGCUAUGUACUCUUGGGGCUGAGAGGUCAACUGGGGACUGGUUUAACUCUGUCGGGCAUUUGAACUGGCUCAACCCAAGGGAACCCAUUUUUCUUACUCCCAGGAGGAAAAUCAAGAGUCUUAUUGGUAGAGCUCUAAAGUGUAACCUCCAUUACUUCAAGAUGAUUAAUUUUGGGGAAGGUACCUUCACAAGUGCAAGUUCAGAGCUGGAAAAUCAUUCUGAGAAACAUGGCACACCUUUGUUUGUUAACCUCUGCCCCGUGAGUCGCUAUGACAGAUAAGCCCGUGGAGAAGAGUGCUCUGCGGAAGCCUUCCCCAGCUGGCUCCUCCAUCUCCACCGUGCUCGUUGGUCUCUUCAUGGAGUUACAGGUCUUAGAGGGCGAGCAAUGGCUGCACCCCUGAGCUCCAGCUGUGAUGUGGGGGGAAUGGCAGGCCAGGAGAGUCGUUCACCCAUAUCACGUGACUUGUCCCGGUGGUUUCAGCUGGUCUCCUAUUAGGAAGAGGAGUGACUUUUCCUGCCCAGAGGAAACAAAUUUGAACUCUCCUUUUCUUCAUUCUAGUCUUGAAGGAGAAUGUAUCAGAAAUUUGUUUUGUUCAACCUUAAUAGACAACCGUAGUUGAAGUGGUCAUUUUGAAUUAGUGUAUGUUUACUGACACCUGAUUUUUUUUUCAGAUUUCUAAUUGUAAUUUUUAGCUUUACUACCACAUGCUGUUUUUAUUUCAAACAGUUGCUGUUCGUUCGUGGGGUUUACUGUUGGAAUAUCUGGUCCUCAGUAACUGUUUGACACUGGAAAGAUCACCUAACCCCUCUGAACCACGCUCUUGGCCCAUCAAGUGGUUCCUGGGAUAUCCAUUGAGGAUUACAACAUGGAGGAAUUUAAGCGACUCACACAGUGUCUGAAGAGUACAUGCCCUGGACAGAAUGCGAAAGAACUCUGCAUUAGCAAGGGUUGCCACAACAAAACAUCAUAGACCAUGUGGCCUGGACAGCAAACUUCUUUCUCCCAGUUUUGGGCACUGGAGGUCUCAGAUGACAGUGCUAGCUAGCAUGGUUGUGUUCUAGUGAGGGUCCCUCUUCCUGACUUGCAAGUGGCUGUCCUCUUACCGUGCCCUCACAGGGUGCACAAAUCCCACCAUGAGAACCUCCCCCCACCCCAUGACCUCAUCUAAACCUAAUUAUUUCCCAAAGUCUUAAUUGUCAAAGGAAGGUUAGGACAUAAGCAGAUGAAUUUAGGUGGAGAGCUAGGGCAGGAGUGUUCUGGGGGAAGGGAAACGAUCCAGUCCAUAAUAGAUCCUGAAGUGAGUAUUUCAGUCUGAAGGGUCGAGGAGAGAAUUAAGAUUUAAAUUCCUAAAGAAGUAGAUAGUUUAGUGUUCACUACUCUAGUGAGCUCAUUGGGAAAAUAAUCUAUAAUGGAAAAAGCUUGUUGUGAGUAUAAAAUAUUUUAAGUACAGCUGUGUAUUUUUAUGAGGAUUUUAAAUUCAGAGGUAUUUGAAUGUCAAAUGUGGUAGAACAAAAAGCCUUUGAAAUUGGACUUGGGUUUGAAUCUCUGUUCUGUUUGUCUUUGGGUGUAUGGCCUAACCUAAGCUGAGCCCCUUUUCCCAGAUUUGUUGGAAGGAACAGUGGUGCAUAUUUGGUUGUUGCGUUACGUGAGAUCAUUUAUGAAGUUCUUAGGGCAUUGUUGAGCACAAGCUAAGUGUAAUACAUAUUAGUUCUCUUCCUCUUCUCUCUACGCUAUCAAAAGGUAAAGUCCCUUUCUGGAAAAUAUGAUGUAUUUUACAAGUGGAAAAAUGGGUAAAAGAUUUGAAAGGAUGGAAGAAUUGUAGUAGGAAGAAACGUGUCUGUAAUAAAUACUGAGAAUCGCCAAGGUCAACAUCUCGAAGCAAGAAAAAUUCCUGAAAAUUGGAGGUGACAUAGCAGAUACAACACUCGAAACCUGAAGUGACCCUCAAACUGACAAGGUCAAAGAUUUUUAAAAUUACCUCUCCAUGGAUGAUCAACCAGGAUACUACCCACAGUAAAUUAAUCCACCCAAGUUAAAUAAGCCACCAGGGCUUGAAAUGGAAACAUCAUUUCAAAUCUCAACAUCCACCCCCAACCCCGCCAAUUUGAAGCAGAAAAGCAAAGUCAUUUCUUUCUGUGUCCUUUAGCUGCUGCUUCUAUGUCUUUCCUUUGUUUCUUCCAAUAGAAGAUUGCUGCUGUUUUCACACAUGUAAGUGGGGCGUCACCAGGCAAACUACAAUCAAAGGCAGAACAAAGGCAGGUAGAGAAAGCAAUGGAAGGCUGAGAUGGACGUGGGCUAAGCUGACAUUACAUUUUACUGCUAGAAGUGAAUCCAAAGACUAAACACCGCGGACCGUGUACACAUCUCUUCCCACCCUCACUGCUUUGUUAAGGGCGGUGGUCUUGGGGACGAAAUAGACAGGGCAGGGCUCAGACUUAUCAGCAAAUGCUCCACUCUGGAAUAGCAGCACCGGAUUCGCCCAGACCACACAUUUAUGGAACCAGAACUUCCUUAAGCUUGGGUGGCACAUUUUCUCUUCGUCUUUGUAGUUCUCUCCUUUAACUCCUACGCUGGUGAGCACCCUCCUUUUUGCAGUGUGUUCCAUGAAUGUUGCACUUGAGUUUGUCUAUGACAGACAAAAACAUUGCUUUCAGCUGGCAUUAUUUACAGCCAGUUUCAAAACAUUGCCAUGGCUUGUUUCCAACAACACCUGUUGGGGGAGAACCUUCGUUCCCCUGGCCAUGGGUUCCCAUGGGGAGAGACGUGAGCAUCUUCUCUGUCACACGGACGAGCUAAGUAUGCCUGGCCUGGCCUUCCUGAGGGUUUCUCUCUCAGAUCUCCCCCACUUCUGCGAGGUGGGCUGUUCUCCACGAGGUGAGUGUUGUAAGGAAGGCUGCCCGCUCCACCCCCCUCCCCCAUACCUCACUGUAGAACUUCUCUGUCUCCCUGUUCCGGUCUAGGCCGGUUAUGCUGGUAGACACAGUGGUGCGGCCCGCUCACUUGGGAGUUGCUCAGAAGAAGGCUUUAUUUAGACAACGGGAAGGUAGACUCCCCUUGAGAAUAUUCCUCCUUGACAGUCAGCUUGCCAAGGCUUUCACGCACUAACUUCCUACUGCAUGUGUUCAAAACUCUGACUCGGGCUGGUCUCUGGCAGCCUUUCCUUGUCAGUGGAGGUCUGGCUCCCGCUGAGCACACAUGCAAGAUAAGCUUUGCUGGAACAUCCUCCGAGAAACAGGCUCAGACUCAAGCAAGCGAACUGUUGGAGAUUCUCCGCCUGUGCUCCUGUGCCCUCCUCUUGCCUAAACCUUGCGCUCUGGAUCACAGUUCCCCCGCAGGCUGUGCAGGUUUGUUCUUCCGCUACGGCUUCCGACCUGUGUGCCAGGUUCUCCGGUUUGCUGGGUCCUGGCUUCCUCUUUCUUGACUUCAUCCCUUGUCCUGCUGGAGCACAUCUCCCAAGAAAAAGUACAUGGAGAGUCAGCGUCUUCUCUUUACCUCUCCGCACGAUUGGUAGCUGAACAGAAUGUGGCCACUCGGUUCCAGGGCCUCACCCUGGAUGAGUGCUCUGCUGUCGUCAUCUUGAAAUUCUCAACUUUUGAACAUGGACACCACAUGCUAUUUUCCACUGGGCCCUACGAAUUAUAUAGCUGGCCCUUGUGGCCAGUAUGCAGUGCUGCUACCGAGAUGUCUCCUUCCCUUUGGCUGUGGCUCAGUCCCCCUUUCUGAGAGCCCAUUCUAACCUCCCUUGUCUCCAGUGAACUGAAAUGUUACCAUGAUGUCCUUGGACUGGAUAUUAUUUUCUCACUUAUUAUCUUGCAUAUCUGGUGAUCUCUUUCAACCUUGAGACUUCUGUACUUGAAUAUCAAGAACAUGUCCUGUAUUAUUAUUUUGAUCACCUGUUUCUUUCUAUUUCUUAAUAUUUGGAUACUAGACUUCCUGGAUUGAUCUAAAUUUUAUUAUGUUUUAUUCCUAUUGUUUAUUGGAUGGUUUUUGUUCUGAUUUCUGGGAUUUUUCUUCAUCUUUAUUUUCUAAUGCUUCUAGUAAGCUUAUUUCAGCAAUCAUAUUUCUUUAAAAAAAAAAAAGAUUUAUUUAUUUGAAAGGCAGAGUUAUAGAAAAGCAGAGGCAGAGAGAGAGAAAAUCUUCUAUCCACUGGUUCACUCCCCAAAUGGCCACUAUGGCCAGAGCUGGGCCAGUCCAAAGCCAGGAGCCAGAGCUUCUUCCAGGUCUCCCACCAGGGGGCCAAGGACCUGGACCAUUUUCUACUGCUUUCUCAGGUCACAGCAGAGGGCUGGAUCAGAAGUGGAGCAAGUAGGACUCAAAAUGACCCCCAUAUGGGAUGCAGACACUGUUGGCAGCGUCUUUACCCACUACGCCACAGUGCUGGCCUUCAAAUGGCCAAGACUUCCUCAUAGUCUUUGAUUACUUUUUUUAUAUCUUUGUGUUCUUUUAUUAUGUAUAUAUUAUUUUCUCUUCCCUUUUUGACUAACUGAAUGAUAAACUUUUUAUUUGUUUGUUUGAGAGGCAGACAGAGGGGGAGAGAUAGAGACAAAAAGAUAAACACAGAGAGAGAAAGCUUCCUUCUGCUGAUUCAGUCUCCAAAUACACACACCAGCCAUGGUCAGGGUCAGGGUUAGGGCCAGGGCUAGGGUCAGGGCAGGGAGCCAGGAACUCAGUCCAGGUCUCCCACAUGGGUGGCAGGAACUCAAGUACUUGGGUCAUCAUUUGCUGCCUCCCAAGAUCAGCAUGAAUAAGAAACUGGAAUCAGGAACAGGAGCUAGGAACCCAGACACUCGGAUGUAGCAUGUGGGCAUUUUACCUGAUGUCUUAGCCACUAGGCUAAAUGUGUGCACCAAAUGGUAGAUUUAAUAUAUAUAUAUAUACACACACACAUACUUACUUUCAUCUACCUGAAAGGUAGAAGGAGAGAGAGAGAGAGCGAGUGAGAGAGAGAGAACCCAAAUGCCUGCAGAAGUCAAGACUGGGCCAGGAGACUGGAACUCAGCCCAGGUCUCUUACCUGGGUGGCAGGACCUGGCUACCGGGCCAUCCUCUGCCUCCCGGGAUACAUUAUCAGGAAACUGGAUCGGAAAUGGAAGAGCCAGUACUCAAGCAGGUAGCUCGAUUUCUCCAGACAGCCUGGGGCAUAUGCAUCGUAAGAGCAGGAAGGGAAAGAGGAGAAUGGUACCUCCCCGUGUGGCGUGGAGACCUACGUGGCAUGCCCGUUUUCCAAAGCCUGCCUCAUGUUUCUCCCCGUUGUGUGUGGUGUUUCCUACCUGAGACACUGACGUUUUCCCACUUACGCAUUCUGGCAUUUUCUUGGAGAAAAACUACUUAAUUUCCUGUGUUAAGGGGGGGGGGACUUGGGGUACCCUAGUGUAGUCUUUUAAGUAACCCCUGGGUCUUCAACGCCUACUUGCCUUAUGCAUGAAGGCCCUGAGUCUUUCCCAACUUUUGCAAACGUGUUUGCUACUUUUCAUCGCCUCCUGUGGGAGCAGGUGGAUUUCUGCCUCCUCUGCUUGGCCACGUGAGUUUCAUGUCUCUGCCCAGUGUCAGACCUCUCACACUUGGACAUCGAUGGUCAGCUUUCUUCCCUACACCUGCUUUCUGCCUUCUGACUUUACAGCUGGGGCCUCCAACAAGUUUAUAUAAAAAUGUGUAUUAUGAAAAAACCAUGUAUGGAUUUCAAUUUUUACAUCAAAAUAAACUGAUCUUUUUUUAACUUUUAUUUAAUAAAUAUAAAUUUCCAAAGUACAGCUCUUGGAUUACAGUGGCUUUUUCCCCCCCAUAACUUCCUCCCACCCGCAACCCUCUCAUCUCCUGCUCCCUCUCCCAUUCCAUUCACAUCAAGAUACAUUUUCAAUUAUCUUUAUAUACAAAAGAUCAAUUUAGUAUAUAUUAAGUAAAGAUUUCAACAGUUUUCACCCACACAGAAACACAAAAUGUAAAGUACUAUUUGAGUACUAGCUAUAGCAUUAAUUCACAUUGUACAACACAUUAAGGACAGAGAUCCUACAUGAGGAGUAUGUGCACAGUGACUCCUGUUGUUGACUUAACAAACUGACACUCUUGAAUAAACUGAUCUUUUAAUCAAAUUUUUCUAUGAACUUUUUUGAAGUGCCCCUGUAUAUUUUUAAUUCCUUUACUUAAAUAUUGGUGGUGUUUCAGGAGUGGACAGAGACACUUUUUUUUCUCAGCCCACUAAUUUAGAUGGAAUUCUUAAGUCACCUUCUAAAGUCUUUCUAAUCCUCUAAUUCUAUGUCAAAAUUGAAACUUGCAAGGAAGUGGUAUGGAGAGUAUCCAAAAUCAGGAAAAAAAAAAAAAAGAGAAAAACAGAAUGCCAUUGUUUGACAAGGAAUGUUCCCAGCUAUAUAAAUAGAUCUUUAAUAUCAAGGACAGAUGGCAGACUUUUCUUCUGUUGAAAGUUAUUCAGCUUUCUAAUUUUUGGAAAAUAUAGGUAAUCAAGUAUCAACCUGGGAAAAACCCAGCUCUUUCAUAUGGGAACAAAAGAGGAGAAAAUGGAUAGUGAAUUGGGAGCCCUGGGUUGGUUUGGAUGGAAGUUUCUAGCUCUGGAAUUCUGUAUAAAUUCCUUUUUAAAAUUAUUCAUGCAGGGUGUAUUAAAAAAAACCUCUUCAUGAAAAUUGUGACAAAAAUCUGAUGAGGAAGAGAAAGAGCUGAAAAUGAUGAUUAUGGACUUAUGUCUUGCAAUCUUCUUUGAAAUACAUUAGGAAAUAAGAGUGUGUAGAGGGGUGGAUAGACAGACAGGUGUGUGAUGGAGCAGCGAGUAAAAUAUUCAUGGUAUGGCCGAGGUUUGAGUGAAUAAGUGUUCGUGGUAAAAAUCGCUCGACUUCACUGCAUGCAUGCAUAGUUCAGUGUUGGGAAAAAUGAGGAUUGUGGCAAUGGAGAUGGAGAUGAAGGAAGUACUACUUCCAGAUAUGCACUGGACAGCAAAAAUGAGCCCAGGGAAGACCUGAUUAAUCAGUUUUCCUAGGAAAACAUAUCCAUGUGGACAGUCAGAUUUUACCUAAAGAGACUGAUGCUGACACUCAUUCUCCAGAUGUAGGUUUGUCUUUACCUGGCCCUUGUCCUUCAAACCUAAGAUGAAGCCAAGGGCUAACUUCAACAAAACGCUGGAGACUCUUGAACCAUGGCCUGGGCAUUCAACAAAGAGGAAGUGAUAUUGAUUCUUAUUGACUUAACAGAAGGUCAUAUUCCUGAUGUGCUGAUCCAGGCAAAUGUUUUGUAGACCUCCACUUUAUCAUCAUAUAAUAUCUAACCUUAUAGUUUCAGUUGGCAAGUUCUGAUGAUUGGAGCAUGUGCCAAUAAAAUCUAAAGAGUAUUGGCCAAAUGACCUUUAGCCUAAAGUAGUAUAGUUCUGAUUUGAUAUCAGAAUUACAGGUUCAAUCACCAUGUAGACCAGUUUGCUUCAUUUGAAGCUGUUAUCCAGUCUCUGCCAGCACAACCCUGAUCCUGGAGUUAGCUUUUCAAGUUGUGCCCUUUGUGACAAAGGAGAACUGGGAGUAAGUUUAUCUCAAACACACUUAUCACCCCUUUUGGAAAAAAAUAAGUUCACUUCUAGCCACAGGAGGUGUUUGAUAGGAUUAAUUUCCUAUGUGUUUAUGAGCGCAUCUGGGUGGUAAGCAAUUUUCCUUUUAAAGGAAGAUUAUUUUAAUAAAGUGUUUAAAAGUUGACAGUGUUAUUGAAAGAAUGCAGAAAUAUUGCCACAGGAAAGAUUCAGUACAAAUAGAAAUGUUGAAUUUAUGUGUUCAUGCAUUGUAUAUAUUCAUCUAAUCUUGUGUUGAAAGAUGCUCCUGCAAUUAUUUGGGGUAUUAUAUAUAAUAGGAUGUGACUUGGAGCUUGUGUCAUCAGCAUUGUUGUGUGCUGUAAUCACAGCCCUGCCAAGAAUCGCUGUAACUGCUGGGCAAACGGUUCCACUGAUCUGGAGCCCAUUCAUCAGAGAAUAACCUCCUGGCGUUCAUCUGCACACGCUGAUAUCCGCCACUCUGCAAGGACAACAUUUUCAUCUGUCUUGGUUUAUUUCAGACUUCAGGAGCACUGAUAAAGUUUUAAAAAUAAAGAAUUUGGGGUGUUUGCUGUGGCAGUUAAGAUGCUGCAUGGGACACCCACAUCUUACAUUGGAGUGCCUAGGUUGUAGUCCCAGCUCAGCUCCUGGUUCCAGCUCCCUGCUAAUGUGCAUCCUGGGGUGUAGCAGGCGAUGGCUCACGUAGUUGGGAGAAGUCAACCAUGUGGUAGACAGACCCAGACUGAGUACUUGGCUCCUGAUUGUGUCCUGGCCCAGCCCUGGCUGUUGCAGGCAUUUAAGGAGUGAAUCAGCAGAUGGGAGAUCUAUCUCUGUCUGUCUUUCAAAAACAUAUCAUUUGAGCAUCAAAUAUACCAUAUUUUGAAGGAUCACUGUGCCCAUUUAUCAUUUCUCAAAGGAACUACUUACAAGUUGGAAACUUAAAGCAGCUUGGUUAUUUUUAUACAAACCCAUUAUUUUAUAAAUGAAAGAAUGAUGGUCCAAGGAUAUAUGGGUCUUAUUUUGGAUUGUAGAAGUAAUGAUCAACAAAGCAAGCAUUAGGUACCAGCUGUACAGAUCACUGUUGGCAAUUUUUUCUGUUCACUCUAGCACUAGUCUUGUUAAAAACAGAAUUUCUGUCUUGGUUUGGCAGCUGUCUCAAUCAUUGUUGAUCAUUUGCCAGAGCUUUCUAGGCCUCAAAUUAGAAAUGGCAUUGUUCACACUUAUUAGAAAAAAGUUUCAAAAACUUAUAAUAAUAAGACAAAAAAAGAGCCUGAUUUAAAAUGAGCAAAAGAUUUAAACAGACACUUCACAAAAGAAAAUAUAUGAAUAACCAAUAAGCUCAGAAAAAAGUAUUCAUCAUCAUUAGUCAUCAAGGAAAUGCAAGUAACAACCAUGAUGAGCUAUCUCUACACACCCACUGAAAGGACUUACAUAAAAAGGUGAUUAAGAACACCAAGGACAUGGGACAAGUAGGACUCUCAUACCCUGCUGAUGGGAAGGUAAGUUAGUACAAUCAGUUUGAGAAAAUUCUUGGCAGUUUUGUGUAAAGUUAGUUACACAGAGCUGGCGUUGUGGUACAGCAGGUUAAGCUGCUACUUGGGAUGUCAGCAUGCCCAGCCCUGGCUGCUCCACUUCUGAUCAGCUCCCUGCUAAUGCACCUGGGAAGGCAGCAGAAGAUGGCCCAGUACUUGAGACCCUGCCACUCAUGGGGGAGAACUGGGUGGAGUUCCUGGUUCAUAGCUUCAGCCUGGUCCAGCCCCUGCCACUGGGGCCCUCUUUUUCUGUCACUCUGCUUUCAACAAUUAAAUAAAUCCUUUUUUUAAAAAAAUGUAAAUAAACAUUUGGGUAAAAUACACAUUUGGGGCUAGCAUUGUGGUGCAGCUGAUUAAGGUGCCACCUGCAAUGCUGGCAUCCCAUCUGAGUGUCAGUUUGAGUCCUGGCUACUCCAUUUCUUUUUUCCUUUUUUUCUUUUUUUCCUUGUUAUUUAUUUAUUAGAAAGGCAGAGUUACAGAGAGGCAGAGGCU
Oryctolagus cuniculus (rabbit) is the source of this 10399-nucleotide non-coding RNA. NCBI's taxonomy places the organism in Eukaryota, Metazoa, Chordata, Mammalia, Lagomorpha, Leporidae. The record is from RefSeq and is a predicted model, not a curated record.